This 73-nucleotide transfer RNA is filed under the name Cinara cedri. It matches the Rfam family "tRNA". Rfam says of the family: Transfer RNA (tRNA) molecules are approximately 80 nucleotides in length. Their secondary structure includes four short double-helical elements and three loops (D, anti-codon, and T loops). The record is from Rfam by way of RNAcentral. Lineage: Eukaryota; Metazoa; Arthropoda; Insecta; Hemiptera; Aphididae.
GCCUUCGUGGCGCAAUGGUUAGCGCGUUCGGCUGUUAACCGAAAGGUUGGUGGUUCAAGUCCACCCGGGGGCG